This is a non-coding RNA of Dipodomys ordii (Ord's kangaroo rat), 70 nucleotides long. The record is from Rfam. NCBI's taxonomy places the organism in Eukaryota, Metazoa, Chordata, Mammalia, Rodentia, Heteromyidae.
GGGAAGGUGGCUCAGUGGUAGAGUGCUUGCCUUGCAUGCAUGAGGCCCUGGGUUCAAUUCCUCACUACCA